RNAcentral lists this ribosomal RNA (474 nucleotides) under uncultured bacterium. Its description in RNAcentral is "SSU rRNA". It matches the Rfam family "Bacterial small subunit ribosomal RNA", at positions 26 to 518 of the family's 1533-position model. The record is from RNAcentral.
AGGACGAACGCUGGCGGCGUGCUUAACACAUGCAAGUCGAGCGGAAAGGCCCUUCGGGGUACUCGAGCGGCGAACGGGUGAGUAACACGUGAGCAACCUGCCCUUAGCUCUGGGAUAGCUCCGGGAAACCGGAAUUAAUACCGGAUAUGACCUAGGCCGACAUCGGCCGUGGUGGAAAGUUUUUCGGCUAGGGAUGGACUCGCGGCCUAUCAGCUAGUUGGUGGGGUAAUGGCCUACCAAGGCGACGACGGGUAGCCGGCCUGAGAGGGCGACCGGCCACACUGGGACUGAGACACGGCCCAGACUCCUACGGGAGGCAGCAGUGGGGAAUCUUGCGCAAUGGGCGAAAGCCUGACGCAGCGACGCCGCGUGGGGGAUGGAAGGCCUUCGGGUUGUAAACCCCUUUCAGCAGGGACGAAGCGAAAGUGACGGUACCUGCAGAAGAAGCGCGGCUAACUACGUGCCAGCAGCCGC